Molecule: unclassified non-coding RNA, 255 nt
Filed under: uncultured fungus
Lineage: Eukaryota; Fungi
Description: sequence contains ITS1
Source: RNAcentral
GUAUUGAUUGCGUGUUAUCGCAAAAAUGGGGUCAUUCUACACUUUUUAAAAAGGGGUUUGUGUGAGAACGCAAGCCCCCUCCUGGAUCGGUUUGAUCCCGAAGGGCGCCCACGCGGUGGUGCACAAAAGGGUGAGAUGGAUUUUAUGUGAGAGGACACACUCUGGCGUGCACGACUUUUGGUCAGCGACAGCCCUUGCAUGCCUCACACAUUUUUUUUUACGAUAAUGAUCCUUCCGCAGGUUCACCUACGGAAA